Aplysia californica (California sea hare) is the source of this 721-nucleotide long non-coding RNA. RefSeq lists it as uncharacterized. Lineage: Eukaryota; Metazoa; Mollusca; Gastropoda; Aplysiida; Aplysiidae. The record is from RefSeq and is a predicted model, not a curated record. The transcript has 4 exons.
UGUAGAAUUCUGUGGUGCGCACUCAUUUCACACCUUUGAAAUUCUGGAGUGUACUAGAUCUACAUGUACCACGAAAGCGGAAUAGAGAAUCAAUCCCAAGACAGAUGAAUACGAUUCUCUAUUCAUGCGGCAGCAGAUGCACAGAGACAACCUGAACCAGACUGAAGUCCAUUUUUUUUCCUUCUAUUUUUAUGAGCUGUAUGAAGCAGUCGACUCUACGAGUGGAUUUUGAAAAGUAAGCUAUAGCGGGGGCACGCAUUGGUGGGGAUACUGCCUCUUCGGACACUGCAACACACAAAAUGACUACCGGAGUGCUAUUUUGAAACUAAUUGAUGCAGAAAUGUACAAUGAUUCAUCCUGGAAAAGGGAGAAAGCCAGACCCUCUGGAUGUUCCUGCUACCAACAAGAUUUUCAUAAUCCGUCACUUAGUUGGAGAACAAGGGAACAUGAAAAGUAUUGAUAAGUGGCGAAGUGGUUUCAGAAACUUUUUUUCCGAAUUCGUCUUUGACACCAGAUUGUGUGGUCAGGUAGUGUGAAUGUGUGGUGCAGAAAAUACUGACUCUGUAAAUGGAAAGUGACAUCCUGUGUGAGUUUUUGAGGAGGCCACUGAAACUGAACUCUUGUGUCUUUUUCCCUGGAUGCUUGUGGCAUGGACGGAACAAGACAUAUUUUUAACUGCAUGUUUAAUUAUGUUGGGAAUAAAAGCUUGACUAACGAAAAA